GACCAGCCACAAUGGAAGUGAGAACGGGUGCAGACGCCUACGGGGGGCAGCAGUGGGGAAUAUUGCACAAUGGGGGAAACCCUGAUGCAGCGACGCCGCGUGAGUGAAGAAGUAUUUCGGUAUGUAAAGCUCUAUCAGCAGGGAAGAAAAUGACGGUACCUGACUAAGAAGCCCCGGCUAACUACGUGCCAGCAGCCGCGGUAAUACGUAGGGGGCAAGCGUUAUCCGGAUUUACUGGGUGUAAAGGGAGCGUAGACGGCUUUGCAAGUCUGAUGUGAAAGGCCGGGGCUCAACCCCUGGACUGCAUUGGAAACUGUGAGGCUAGAGUGCCGGAGAGGUAAGCGGAAUUCCUAGUGUAGCGGUGAAAUGCGUAGAUAUUAGGAGGAACACCAGUGGCGAAGGCGGCUUACUGGUCACCAACUGACGCUGAGGCUCGAAAGUGUGGGUAGCAAACAGGAUUAGAUACCCGGGUAGUC
RNAcentral lists this ribosomal RNA (476 nucleotides) under Escherichia coli. Its description in RNAcentral is "bacterial SSU rRNA". It matches the Rfam family "Bacterial small subunit ribosomal RNA", at positions 302 to 795 of the family's 1533-position model. Lineage: Bacteria; Pseudomonadati; Pseudomonadota; Gammaproteobacteria; Enterobacterales; Enterobacteriaceae. The record is from RNAcentral.